Molecule: transfer RNA, 73 nt
Filed under: Bacteroides sp.
Lineage: Bacteria; Pseudomonadati; Bacteroidota; Bacteroidia; Bacteroidales; Bacteroidaceae
Also listed under: 2 other names
Description: tRNA-Thr
Rfam family: tRNA
About the family: Transfer RNA (tRNA) molecules are approximately 80 nucleotides in length. Their secondary structure includes four short double-helical elements and three loops (D, anti-codon, and T loops).
Source: RNAcentral
GCCGCUAUAGCUCAGUUGGUAGAGCAACGCAUUCGUAACGCGUAGGUCACCAGUUCAAGUCUGGUUAGCGGCU